UAACACGUGCAUCACGGCUCCGAAGGUCU
RNAcentral lists this small RNA (29 nucleotides) under Bombyx mori (domestic silkworm). RNAcentral's name for it is "ovarian small RNA-5619". Lineage: Eukaryota; Metazoa; Arthropoda; Insecta; Lepidoptera; Bombycidae. The record is from RNAcentral.